GAUGAAGAACGCAGCGAAAUGCGAUACGUAGUGUGAAUUGCAGAAUUCAGUGAAUCAUCGAAUCUUUGAACGCACAUUGCACCUCUCGGUAUUCCGGGAGGUAUGCCUGUUCGAGCGUCAUUUGUACCCUCAAGCUCUGCUUGGUGUUGGGUGUUUGUUCCGCCUCUGUGUGUGAACUCGCCUCAAAACAAUUGGCAGCCGGCGUACUUGUUUCGGAGCGCAGCACAUUUUGCGAUCCAGAUCAACGUACAGCGGCAUCCAAGAAGCCUUAUUUAACGCACUUGACCUCGGAUCAGGUAGGGAUACCCGCUGAACUUAAGCAUAUCAAUAAGCGGAGGA
Molecule: unclassified non-coding RNA, 339 nt
Filed under: soil metagenome
Description: partial contains 5.8S ribosomal RNA, internal transcribed spacer 2, and large subunit ribosomal RNA
Rfam family: 5.8S ribosomal RNA (bases 1-120)
Source: RNAcentral